Salvia miltiorrhiza (redroot sage) is the source of this 485-nucleotide long non-coding RNA. RefSeq lists it as uncharacterized. The record is from RefSeq and is a predicted model, not a curated record. Lineage: Eukaryota; Viridiplantae; Streptophyta; Magnoliopsida; Lamiales; Lamiaceae. The transcript has 3 exons.
CUCCUUCAAGCAAACAAUUCAGCAGCAACCUACCUCCAUUCAUUCUUUACUCACCUGUAUUUGUUAAAGUAGCAACCUUAUUUCAGUUCAUCUCAUACAAAUCAACAACAACAGCCAUCAACAACAAACAAUUACAGGUCAAGCGCGAGAGUAAGAACUACACAAGGAGUUAGAGUACCUUAGCAAAACUUUGCUAUCAGGUUGAGCUGUGAUGGGCGAUGAAGUGUUGUUGCUGAGUAGAGCUUUUGUCGAACUUAAAGUAGGCUCAGAAAGGAUACAUGUCUUCAUACAUGUAUCUCAGUUAUGCAUUCCGCUGUAAACACUGAUUAUUUUAGUUACACCUUCCGUUGCAAACUCUGAUAAUGUUUUAGCCAAGCCCCUAACGAUGUCUUUUUCCUUUUUAAGGAAUAUUUCACGCGUAUUCAAGCUCUUUGAGUAUUCUUUUAUGCACCCCUUUCUAAACCCGCUUCUUAAUUUCCCUUCCC